Molecule: microRNA, 40 nt
Organism: Vombatus ursinus (common wombat)
Lineage: Eukaryota; Metazoa; Chordata; Mammalia; Diprotodontia; Vombatidae
Source: Ensembl
AUUUAUUGAAUGCCUGCUAUGUGCCAGGCAUUGUGCUGAG